Molecule: transfer RNA, 73 nt
Filed under: Solirubrobacterales bacterium
Lineage: Bacteria; Bacillati; Actinomycetota; Thermoleophilia; Solirubrobacterales
Also listed under: 2 other names
Description: tRNA-Lys
Rfam family: tRNA
About the family: Transfer RNA (tRNA) molecules are approximately 80 nucleotides in length. Their secondary structure includes four short double-helical elements and three loops (D, anti-codon, and T loops).
Source: RNAcentral
GCCGCCGUAGCUCAGUUGGCAGAGCAGCGGACUUUUAAUCCGAGGGUCGCAGGUUCGAAUCCUGCCGGCGGCA